This 433-nucleotide ribosomal RNA is filed under the name uncultured bacterium. RNAcentral describes it as "partial 16S ribosomal RNA". It matches the Rfam family "Bacterial small subunit ribosomal RNA", at positions 29 to 507 of the family's 1533-position model. The record is from RNAcentral.
AACGAACGCUGGCGGCAUGCUUAACACAUGCAAGUCGAACGAGAACUUCGGGUCUAGUGGCGCACGGGUGCGUAACGCGUGGGAACCUGCCCUUAGGUUCGGAAUAACUCCCCGAAAGGGGUGCUAAUACCGGAUAAUGUCUUCGGACCAAAGAUUUAUCGCCUUUGGAUGGGCCCGCGUUGGAUUAGCUAGUUGGUAGGGUAAAAGCCUACCAAGGCGACGUUCCAUAGCUGGUCUGAGAGGAGGAUCAGCCAGACUGGGACUGAGACACGGCCCAGACUCCUACGGAAGGCAGCAGUGGGGAAUAUUGGACAAUGAGCGAAAGCCUGAUCCAGCAAUGCCGCGGAAGUGAUGAAGGCCUUAGUGUUGUAAAGCUCUUUUACCCGGGAUGAUAAUGACAGUACCGGGAGAAUAAGCUCCGGCUAACUCCGUG